GAAUGACUCUCGGCAACGGAUAUCUCGGCUCUCGCAUCGAUGAAGAACGUAGCGAAAUGCGAUACUUGGUGUGAAUUGCAGAAUCCCGUGAACCAUCGAGUCUUUGAACGCAAGUUGCGCCCGACGCCUUCCGGCCGAGGGCACGUCUGCCUGGGCGUCACGC
This 163-nucleotide ribosomal RNA is filed under the name Hebecarpa costaricensis. Its description in RNAcentral is "5.8S ribosomal RNA". It matches the Rfam family "5.8S ribosomal RNA". Rfam says of the family: 5.8S ribosomal RNA (5.8S rRNA) is a component of the large subunit of the eukaryotic ribosome. It is transcribed by RNA polymerase I as part of the 45S precursor that also contains 18S and 28S rRNA. Functionally, it is thought that 5.8S rRNA may be involved in ribosome translocation. Lineage: Eukaryota; Viridiplantae; Streptophyta; Magnoliopsida; Fabales; Polygalaceae. The record is from RNAcentral.